RNAcentral lists this ribosomal RNA (496 nucleotides) under uncultured bacterium. Its description in RNAcentral is "partial 16S ribosomal RNA". It matches the Rfam family "Bacterial small subunit ribosomal RNA", at positions 30 to 523 of the family's 1533-position model. The record is from RNAcentral.
AUUGAACGCUGGCGGAAUGCUUUACACAUGCAAGUCGAACGGUAGAGGGGGCAACCCCUCGAGAGUGGCGAACGGGUGAGUAAUAUAUCGGAACGUGCCCAGUCGUGGGGGAUAACGUAGCGAAAGUUACGCUAAUACCGCAUACGAUCUAAGGAUGAAAGCGGGGGAUCGCAAGACCUCGCGCGAUUGGAGCGGCCGAUAUCAGAUUAGGUAGUUGGUGGGGUAAAGGCUCACCAAGCCAACGAUCUGUAGCUGGUCUGAGAGAACGACCAGCCACACUGGAACUGAGACACGGUCCAGACUCCUACGGGAGGCAGCAGUGGGGAAUUUUGGACAAUGGACGCAAGUCUGAUCCAGCCAUUCCGCGUGCAGGAUGAAGGCCCUCGGGUUGUAAACUGCUUUUGUACGGAACGAAAAGGUCUCUCUUAAUACGGGGGGCUCAUGACGGUACCGUAAGAAUAAGCACCGGCUAACUACGUGCCAGCCGCCGCCGCAG